This 513-nucleotide ribosomal RNA is filed under the name uncultured bacterium. RNAcentral's name for it is "partial 16S ribosomal RNA". It matches the Rfam family "Bacterial small subunit ribosomal RNA", at positions 28 to 523 of the family's 1533-position model. The record is from RNAcentral.
GACGAACGCUGGCGGCAUGCCUAAUACAUGCAAGUCGAGCGAACAGAUGAAGUGCCUGCGCUUCUGACGUUAGCGGCGAACGGGUGAGUAACACGUAAGGAAUCUACCUAUAAGCGGGGGAUAACAUUCGGAAACGGGUGCUAAUACCGCAUAAUAUCUUCUUCCGCAUGGAAGAAGAUUGAAAGACGGCUCUGCUGUCACUUAUAGAUGACCUUGCGGUGCAUUAGUUAGUUGGUGGGGUAAUGGCCUACCAAGACGAUGAUGCAUAGCCGACGUGAGAGGGUGAUCGGCCACAUGGGGACUGAGACACGGCCCAAACUCCUACGGGAGGCAGCAGUAGGGAAUCUUCCGCAAUGGGCGAAAGCCUGGCGGAGCAAUGCCGCGUGAGUGAAGAAGGCCUUCGGGUCGUAAAACUCUGUUAUAAGAGAAGAACAAAUUGUAGAGUAACUGCUACAGUCUUGACGGUAUCUUAUCAGAAAGCCACGGCUAACUACGUGCCAGCCGCCGCGGUAA